Ictalurus punctatus (channel catfish) is the source of this 1445-nucleotide long non-coding RNA. NCBI's taxonomy places the organism in Eukaryota, Metazoa, Chordata, Actinopteri, Siluriformes, Ictaluridae. The record is from Ensembl.
CUCGGAGCCUCUGGAGCUGCUUUAUGGUAGUUGGCACAAAAGGAAGGAAUCACCUACCUGAAAGUAAAUGGGUCAACAGAAUGUGCCAUUGGCUUCUCUGCAGGCCUCCCACAACUCUUUCUGCUUCCCACUUGAAUUCUUAGUGCUUCUUUGCUGUUUGUAAACACAGCAUUAUCCAACAGGGCACGUUUGACCCGUGAACAGGGGCGAAAAUGUUAGAACAUGCGGUCUCUCCGUGUCUGUCUUUUGUUAGCGACAAGCUAGCAUGCAAACUGUGAUGAGAGGUGUACAUUUUCCGCAAUCAGCCAUCUAUAUAGUCAAUGUUUAAUAUUUAAUAAGCAAAUAUGUCUAUAUGCUGAUUGGUCUCAAGCAGCGUUGUCCAAUCUUCAGCUUUUCGUUCCAAUCUAGCAGGAGCCACACCUGAUUCCAAUUGUUGGAUCCGCUGAUCUUGCUUUCAAUAGACUAAAGUGUGGCUUCUGCUUGGUUAGAAUGACAACCUGCGACCACACUGGCCCAUUCUGGAGAAGACUGGACAACCCUGAUCGAAAGCAAAUAACCACCGAGGUAAGUGCCACUUUGUGAGUUCUGAAUCCGUCAUGCCGACUCGACGUCACUCGAUGAACAGGGAAGGAACUGGUAGAUGAGAAGACUUCCCACUGUCGACGAAUGGCGAUUUCAAGUUGAGGGUGCGUUUGCUUUGCGUUUUCCCGCUUGGAGGUGGGGAAUUACAAGUCGCAACCUCGUGUCAAGCGCAUCAGUACUCUUGUCUUCUUGAUGAAGGAAAGAGCCAGGCUUCCACAUUCAGUGGAAAAGCAGAGACUGCCCGUGAUUUUGCAAGCAGCUGUUAUCUGCCUUGCUACAAAAGCUCAAUGGAAGGGAAACCGCUCCCAGCCUUUUUCGGGCGUAGACCUCUUGCUGAUAGGUGAACUUGGCGACGAGUACUUUAUGGAAAAUUUUCCAGUCACGCACAGAGUCUUAUUGAGCAACGAAAGAGCCAGGCUUCCACAUUCAGUGGAAAAGCAGAGACUGCCCGUGAUUUUGCAAGCAGCUGUUAUCUGCCUUGCUACAAAAGCUCAAUGGAAGGGAAACCGCUCCCAGCCUUUUUCGGGCGUAGACCUCUUGCUGAUAGGUGAACUUGGCGACCAGUACUUUAGUGAAAAUUUUCCAGUCACGCACAGAGUCUUAUUGAGCAACGAAAGAGCCAGGUUUCCACUUUCUGUGGAAAACCAGAGACUCCCUUUCAUUUUGUAAGCAAAUGUUAACUGCUUUGCUACAAAAGCACAAUAGAAGGAAAUCUGUUCUGUCCAAGGUGUCGCUUUCUGGCUGUUCCUGGAGGACCUGAUCUUACAGUGAUGAGUGUUAGCCAAACGUGAUAACCACCACACUACAGAAACCAUGACAGAGCUGCGCUUCAGCUCUUGCCUAUGGUCUGCUGAUGAGAAGAG